AAGAAAGUGACAGAGUGGCCAUGUGCCCGGCUUGAAACCGGUUUAAGGGGGUUCGAUUCCUCCCUUUCUCG
Molecule: transfer RNA, 71 nt
Filed under: Parioglossus raoi (Rao's hover goby)
Lineage: Eukaryota; Metazoa; Chordata; Actinopteri; Gobiiformes; Gobiidae
Description: tRNA-Ser
Rfam family: tRNA
About the family: Transfer RNA (tRNA) molecules are approximately 80 nucleotides in length. Their secondary structure includes four short double-helical elements and three loops (D, anti-codon, and T loops).
Source: RNAcentral